RNAcentral lists this transfer RNA (70 nucleotides) under Marmota monax (woodchuck). RNAcentral describes it as "tRNA.Undet". Lineage: Eukaryota; Metazoa; Chordata; Mammalia; Rodentia; Sciuridae. The record is from RNAcentral.
GGGGUUGUGGCUCAGUGGUAGAGCGCUCAUCUAGCCAUGCGAGGUCCUGGGUUCGAUCCUCAGCACCACA